GACGAACGCUGGCGGCGUGCCUAAUACAUGCAAGUAGAACGCUGAAGAGAGGAGCUUGCUCUUCUUGGAUGAGUUGCGAACGGGUGAGUAACGCGUAGGUAACCUGCCUUGUAGCGGGGGAUAACUAUUGGAAACGAUAGCUAAUACCGCAUAACAAUGGAUGACACAUGUCAUUUAUUUGAAAGGGGCAAUUGCUCCACUACAAGAUGGACCUGCGUUGUAUUAGCUAGUAGGUGAGGUAAUGGCUCACCUAGGCGACGAUACAUAGCCGACCUGAGAGGGUGGUCCGCCACACUGGGACUGGGACACGGCCCAGACUCCUACGGGAGGCAGCAGUAGGGAAUCUUCGGCAAUGGGGGCAACCCUGACCGAGCAACGCCGCGUGAGUGAAGAAGGUUUUCGGAUCGUAAAGCUCUGUUGUAAGUCAAGAACGGGUGUGAGAGUGGAAAGUUCACACUGUGACGGUAGCUUACCAGAAAGGGACGGCUAACUACGUG
RNAcentral lists this ribosomal RNA (497 nucleotides) under uncultured bacterium. RNAcentral describes it as "partial 16S ribosomal RNA". It matches the Rfam family "Bacterial small subunit ribosomal RNA", at positions 28 to 507 of the family's 1533-position model. The record is from RNAcentral.